Molecule: ribosomal RNA, 1394 nt
Filed under: uncultured bacterium
Lineage: Bacteria
Description: bacterial SSU rRNA
Rfam family: Bacterial small subunit ribosomal RNA
Source: RNAcentral
AGAGUUUGAUCCUGGCUCAGGAUGAACGCUGGCGGCGUGCUUAACACAUGCAAGUCGAACGAAGAUAUUAAGAAUGAGAGCUUCGGCAGGAAUUUUUCUUAUCUUAGUGGCGGACGGGUGAGUAACGUGUGGGCAACCUGCCCUGCACUGGGGAAUAAUCAUUGGAAACGAUGACUAAUACCGCAUACGGUUCCUGGGAGGCAUCUUCCGGGAAAGAAAGGAUUUAUUCGGUGCAGGAUGGGCCCGCAUCUGAUUAGCUAGUUGGUGAGAUAACAGCCCACCAAGGCGACGAUCAGUAGCCGACCUGAGAGGGUGACCGGCCACAUUGGGACUGAGACACGGCCCAAACUCCUACGGGAGGCAGCAGUGGGGAAUAUUGCACAAUGGGCGAAAGCCUGAUGCAGCAACGCCGCGUGAAGGAAGAAGGGUUUCGGCUCGUAAACUUCUAUCAACAGGGACGAAAGAAAUGACGGUACCUGAAUAAGAAGCCCCAGCUAACUACGUGCCAGCAGCCGCGGUAAUACGUAGGGGGCAAGCGUUAUCCGGAAUUACUGGGUGUAAAGGGAGAGUAGGCGGCAAGGUAAGCGAUAUGUGAAAGCCUUAGGCUUAACCUGAGGAUUGCAUAACGAACUAUCUAGCUAGAGUACAGGAGAGGAAAGCGGAAUUCUUAGUGUAGCGGUGAAAUGCGUAGAUAUUAGGAAGAACACCAGUGGCGAAGGCGGCUUUCUGGACUGAAACUGACGCUGAGGCUCGAAAGCGUGGGGAGCGAACAGGAUUAGAUACCCUGGUAGUCCACGCUGUAAACGAUGAGUGCUAGGUGUCGGGGAGGAAUCCUCGGUGCCAGAGCAAACGCAAUAAGCACUCCACCUGGGGAGUACGACCGCAAGGUUGAAACUCAAAGGAAUUGACGGGGGCCCGCACAAGCGGUGGAGCAUGUGGUUUAAUUCGAUGAUACGCGAGGAACCUUACCCGGGCUCAAACGACGGAUGAAUACUUUUGAAAGGAGGUAGUCCUUCGGGACAUCCGUCGAGGUGCUGCAUGGUUGUCGUCAGCUCGUGCCGUGAGGUGUCGGCUUAAGUGCCAUAACGAGCGCAACCCCCAUCGCCAGUUGCCAACAGGUAAAGCUGGGAACUCUGGCGAGACUGCCGGCGCAAGCUGUGAGGAAGGCGGGGAUGACGUCAAAUCAGCACGGCCCUUACGUCCGGGGCGACACACGUGUUACAAUGGCAGGUACAGAGAGAUGCGACACGGCGACGUGGAGCGGAACUGUCAAAACCUGUCUCAGUUCGGAUCGGAGUCUGCAACCCGACUCCGUGAAGCUGGAUUCGCUAGUAAUCGCGCAUCAGCCAUGGCGCGGUGAAUACGUUCCCGGGCCUUGCACUCACCGCCCGUCA